GGCGUGACCAUAGAAUGACAGGACUUCUGCCAGGUGUCCAGGGUUCUGCUGGAGGUCAGUGUACCUGAGGACAGGGGAGGGGAGGAGAGGAGUUAGCAGACAGGAGGCGGGUGAGAGGCGGGGUCGAUGUUAGUGGCAGUUGGACAAAUGUCUAGAAUCGACUUGACGUCAAGAAUUUAUUUGAGUUUGUGAAAUCAUGUUGGACAGGUGUGAGGCAGAGACAGCUGCUGUUCUGCAAGAUUCCUCCACUUCCCACCACGGCACAACGACUCAACGAACCUUUACUCCAGGGACAGACUCUGGUUCAGAUUGGUGUUCUGUCUGGUCACCAUCAGCCUAUCAGACGCAUUACAGCACGACCACAACUCUGCCCUUGGGGAGCGGGGACAACAGGACAGAACGUUUGUUGCAGAAGAUCGCAAGACUGAGCAAAGUGUGUGUGUGUGUGUGUGUCUCACCUGUAUAGUUCUCUGUGUGUGAGGUUGAGUCUCCAAGGACAGUCCAUCAGCUCUCUCACAUCCUGAGAGAACAGGGCAAUGUCCACUCUGAGACACACAAACACACGGAGGAGAACUUGUUGGAUCAGGCUGGAAGUUGGAUUGUCAUGUUGAUCUGAUCUAUACUAGUACAUAUAGAAUGAUCAUGAAACAUAGGAAGAACAAGUCAGGCAAAGGGAGAAACUCUCUCGCUUUCACUCACUGACCCCAGGAAGAUUAGGUGACAGCAUGGUGUCAGCUAAUCAUUCAAAUUCAAAACGCCACCUACUUUUUUAUAGUACUCAUGGUCACCAGUCUCUUUCUCAGUCUCCUACACUGCAACCCCUUCUGAACAGAGUCCAGGAACCCAUCUCUGCAACAGGCAAGCGAACAAAGCAGAACAGUUGUUGGUAAAGCAAAUCAAAAACAAAGCAACAGUAAACAUGUCAUCCCCCACGAAUGAUGCAGCACCACCUUCCUUGGGCAAAAUAAAAUUUAACUAUACUGAUAGUAAAAAAUUUAAAAGCCCAUUAUAGCACCAUGAAUGUUCUUGUAUAUGUUGAGUUUUGACAGUGUUUGCAAAAUGUGUACCAAAUUUGUUAUAGUAUUAAUAUCUGGGAUGGAUUUAUAUGCAUUUAUGUGCCAGACCUUGCCCACGUAAUUGUUUUUUGGUCAAUAGCGGCCAUGUUGUUUUAGUUACUAGUCUGGGAAAUAUUGCAUUGAGAGACCUUUGUCCAUAGAUGCCACAUCAAGUUUCAUGCAGAUCGGUCAUUCGGUGCCAGCUGAGUAGUGUUUUGUGUUUUCACAAAAUAAAAAAUGGCGGAAAAUCUA
Molecule: long non-coding RNA, 1307 nt
Organism: Oncorhynchus kisutch (coho salmon)
Lineage: Eukaryota; Metazoa; Chordata; Actinopteri; Salmoniformes; Salmonidae
Exons: 3
Source: RefSeq, a predicted model, not a curated record